UACGUAGGUGGCGAGCGUUGUCCGGAUUUACUGGGCGUAAAGGGAGCGUAGGCGGACUUCUAAGUGAGAUGUGAAAUACCCGGGCUCAACUUGGGUGCUGCAUUUCAAACUGGAAGUCUAGAGUGCAGGAGAGGAGAAUGGAAUUCCUAGUGUAGCGGUGAAAUGCGUAGAGAUUAGGAAGAACACCAGUGGCGAAGGCGAUUCUCUGGACUGUAACUGACGCUGAGGCUCGAAAGCGUGGGGAGCAAACAGGAUUAGAUA
RNAcentral lists this ribosomal RNA (261 nucleotides) under uncultured prokaryote. RNAcentral describes it as "partial 16S ribosomal RNA". It matches the Rfam family "Bacterial small subunit ribosomal RNA", at positions 524 to 784 of the family's 1533-position model. The record is from RNAcentral.